GAGAGGUGUGUGGCCACUUGGAGAGGUGUGUGGGAACUUGGAGAGGUGUGUGGGAACUUGGAGAGGUGUGUGGGAACUUGGAGAGGUGUGUGGGAACUUGGAGAGGUGUGUGGCCACUUGGAGAGGUGUGUGGCCACUUGGAGAGGUGUGUGGCCACUUGGAGAGGUGUGUGGGAACUUGGAGAGGUGUGUGGGAACUUGGAGAGGUGUGUGGCCACUUGGAGAGGUGUGUGGGAACUUGGAGAGGUGUGUGGGAACUUGGAGAGGUGUGUGGGAACUUGGAGAGGUGUGUGGCCACUUGGAGAGGUGUGUGGGAACUUGGAGAGGUGUGUGGGAACUUGGAGAGGUGUGUGGCCACUUGGAGAGGUGUGUGGGAACUUGGAGAGGUGUGUGGGAACUUGGAGAGGUGUGUGGGAACUUGGAGAGGUGUGUGGGAACUUGGAGAGGUGUGUGGGAACUUGGAGAGGUGUGUGGGAACUUGGAGAGGUGUGUGGCCACUUGGAGAGGUGUGUGGCCACUUGGAGAGGUGUGUGGGAACUUGGAGAGGUGUGUGGGAACUUGGAGAGGUGUGUGGGAACUUGGAGAGGUGUGUGGGAACUUGGAGAGGUGUGUGGGAACUUGGAGAGGUGUGUGGCCACUUGGAGAGGUGUGUGGGAACUUGGAGAGGUGUGUGGGAACUUGGAGAGGUGUGUGGGAACUUGGAGAGGUGUGUGGGAACUUGGAGAGGUGUGUGGGAACUUGGAGAGGUGUGUGGCCACUUGGAGAGGUGUGUGGCCACUUGGAGAGGUGUGUGGGAACUUGGAGAGGUGUGUGGGAACUUGGAGAGGUGUGUGGAACUUGGA
Oncorhynchus keta (chum salmon) is the source of this 841-nucleotide long non-coding RNA. RefSeq lists it as uncharacterized. Lineage: Eukaryota; Metazoa; Chordata; Actinopteri; Salmoniformes; Salmonidae. The transcript is spliced from 4 exons. The record is from RefSeq and is a predicted model, not a curated record.